CCCUCAGCCCCGGAGACGCCGCCACGGCGGAGCCCGGAGCCCCCCUGCCUGAGGCGCCCGCGGCCCGGAUCCGGCCCCUCCCCUCCCAGGUGCGGACCGCCGGGCGGGCGGGCGCGGCAGAUUUUAUCAUGUGGGCAACCUGCUGCAACUGGUUCUGCUUGGAUGGACAGCCUGAGGAGGCCCCACCGGCCCAGGGAGCCAGGACGCAGGCCUAUUCCAACCCUGGGUACAGCUCCUUCCCUUCCCCAACAGGCUCGGAACCAAGCUGCAAGGCUUGUGGGGCCCACUUCGCAAACACGGCCAGGAAGCAGACCUGCCUGGACUGCAAGAAGAAUUUCUGCAUGACCUGUUCGAGCCAAGUGGGGAACGGCCCCCACCUCUGCCUCCUCUGCCAGCGGUUCCGAGCCACAGCCUUUCGGCGGGAGGAGCUCAUGAAGAUGAAGGUGAAGGACCUGAGGGACUAUCUCAGCCUCCAUGACAUCUCUACCGAAAUGUGCCGGGAGAAAGAGGAGUUGGUGCUCUUGGUGCUUGACCAGCAGCGUGUACUUUCUCAGGAGGGCAGGACUCGUGCCCCCCCCUUGUCCCCCGACUUCCCCGAGCAGCAGGCCUUCCUGGCCCAGGCUCACGCCGGCACAGUACCUCCUACCUCGGCAAGCCUCCCCUCUUCGCCCGCACAAGCCACGUCUGUGUCCCCAGCCCCGGCUCAGGAAAGCCAGCAGGCCAAUGGCCAUGUGUCUCAGGACCAAGAGGAGCCCGUCUACCUGGAGAGCACAGCCAGAGCACCUGCUGAGGAUGAGACCCAGUCUGUCGACUCAGAGGACAGCUUCGUCCCGGGCCGGCGGGCCUCUCUGUCUGACCUGACUGACCUGGAGGACAUUGAAGGUCUGACCGUGCGGCAGCUGAAAGAGAUCCUGGCGCGCAACUUCGUCAACUACAAGGGCUGCUGUGAGAAGUGGGAGCUGAUGGAGAGGGUGACGCGGCUGUACAAGGACCAGAAGGGGCUCCAGCACCUGGUGUGUGGUGCUGAAGACCAAAACGACGGAGCGGUGCCGCCCAGCAUGGAAGAGAACCUGUGCAGGAUCUGCAUGGACUCACCCAUUGACUGUGUCCUGCUGGAGUGCGGCCACAUGGUCACCUGCACCAAGUGCGGCAAGCGCAUGAACGAGUGUCCCAUCUGCCGGCAGUACGUGAUCCGAGCCGUGCACGUCUUCCGAUCCUGAGGGCUGGCGCCGGCUUCUUCAGUGCCUUACAGGGAUGGAGCUGGAAGGGUCUGGGCUCCAGAUUGGCUAGCUUGCAGAGGGGCAGGCUAACAAGAGAAUCUUCGAGCAAAGAUGCGGUCACCUCUGGGCAUGCCUGUCCUGCCUCGGCGGCACACCUCUCAGCCGGCGGAGCCCGAGGCUGGUGGGAACUGGUACAGAUCGCGUGGGCAAGUCCCUGGUUCCAGUGAUCUUGGGGUAAUGAUGGUAAUUGAUGAAGAGAGGAUUUUUCCAGAACUUGGACCAGAUCUUCCUCCCUUCCUCUGUAAACUUAACAGUUUUCCCCUUCCCCCCGCACCCCAGCCAUCCCUGAGCGGCCUGUCUGCAUUCCAACCGUCAGAAGUCCUGGUAGAAAUGGUUCUCUUCCUCCCCAGCACAUUUGGAUUUCUUUCUGGUCUCUCUGGCUUUCUGUGCUUUAACCAGCUUUGCUAGUCUCUUGCUGCAUUGCCUAACAUUCGUUUCUUCAGAUCAAAAAGAUGUUAGCUUACCAGACCAAUAGUGAUCCUCCUUAGGACUAAAUUUGGACCAGUAAACUUUCUCUGGUGAGAAAUGAAACACAAAUGCUAUUGAAAAAUUUCAAAGUCAUUUACAGGUUGCUUCCUUAAGUGCUGGGAUUGGAAGCAGUUGAGUCUCCUGACCGAACCUUGGGAGCCAGCAAAGAAAGCAUCUGCAGGGAAGUUUGAGUCGUGUGUGUGAGAUGGCCCGGGGAUCAUCUCUGCUGCUCUUAGGGCCUGUGCGCCAUCCUUAAUUUUAGUUUAUGAGAAAAGGGAAAGUUUUGGGCGGAAGCAGUGGCUUCCUGCUUAACUUUGACUUCUCCAUCACAAAGGAAUUGCAGACGACUUUCCCCAGAGAAUGAAGUCCUUCUCUUCCCCACGGAGGUUUUAAACAGGGUCUCACUGAAGGCAUAAAGACUAAGGUGAGGAGCCUUGCUCUUCUCCAGCCACACUUUUUGUGAAGUUCCUGGAGACCAAAACUGAACAGCCAAGGGGUAUCUGAAGGUACUGAAUGAGACUGGAUUCAGCCCUGGGGCAGACAGCUCCAAGUCUUAAUUCCCCAGGUUAGUGGGGACUCCCUGCUCCCAUUUCCUUUCUCAGCCUACUGACUUGAGGGCAGGUCUGGAAGAAGCAUUCUCCAGGCCCUUUAGGAAAGACCGUACAAUGAGUUGGAUAUUCUCAAGCCCUCUUAGGGUGGUUCUACCACUGGAAGAGCCAAAGGGCUUAAGUUUGCUGGAGAAGCUUAGCCAAGAACAGACACAUGCUAUCAGAAGGAGCUGUGUGGGCUGCCAUUACCUGUGGGUGAGCUACGCAACCCCAAUGCACCUGAGGGCCUUGGCAGGCCACCCCGCACCCCAUCCCAUCCCUGCUAUGCAGUCAAGUUCUCUCAGACUGGAACCAGUCAGGAUGUUGGAAAACAGUGGGAAACCUCCAAGGGGACCUGCUUAUUGGUACAGACAUACUUUGGCUUUCCCCCGUCAUCAACCAUUGUUCCCCUUUGGAGGAAUGAAAUUUAUUUCGUAAAGUAGCUGUCAGUUGCACACUGGGCCACUUACCUCGACAUCAUACCAAGUCCUGGAUGCUUUGAUUCUGGGACAGCCUUUGUAGGAAUCGGGCGAAUCAAGAGAGAGGACUGCUUAGAGGACGUUUCACCUUUUUGCUGGACAUAGUACAUACUACAGUUUACAAUGCCUACCAGUUCAGCAGAGGAUUCAGCUACUUCUCGAUUCCGCUGUGAAACAGGUCUCUCUCUGUAUAAUGCAACUCAGUUACAAUCUAGUCAUAACUUCAGGGCAGAAGCUGGCUCUUUCCCUACUUAAAACUUUUCACUGCUGAGGCCUUACCUCUCCCUACCUCCCACAUUCCCUCCUAGACAGAAGUUAAAAAUAUCCUGAAGGUUGUUUAGUAACCUCAGUAAGAAUUAGAACUGGUAUCAUUUGCUCAGUUUGGAGAAAGAACUUGCCCCUCAAUCUCUUUUGGUGAAGGUUUCCAUUCAGGAAAAAAGGUGUCUAACAACCCUGAUUUGUUGUUAUUCAUCAUUAUUACACCAAAUAAAGGCUGGGAUCCCAUUUCAGUUACUAUCUAACCUAGGUAGAAAACUUUUUAUCUGAGUGCUCUCCCUUGCCCCUCAUGGAUCCUUGGUCUUAAUUAUCAUGCAACAUCUUAAUUCUUCCAGUUACUCUGUGGCUUUGGCUGUGAUUGUUCUGAGAUUUCAUUUGAGACUUGUUUUAAGACUUGGGAGAGCCGACUGGUUCAUAAUGCCUUGGAAUGGCUGGAUCCGAGCUAGUAACAAUAAGCUGUACGGGAAUCCGUGCACUAUGCUGUACGAAUUUGAAAUCUUUCAGAUGUGGCUUAUAUUAAGAUUCUCUCAGACUUCCUUGGGUGUUAAACCCAAAUGUGUAUUUUUUUUGUUACAGAGCUCUGCUUUAUAAUUUUGUAAUAAAAUUUCACUACAGAUGCCUGUCUGAUCUGGUGGAGGACACCAGAGGUCUGACAGUUAAGACUGACAAGAGAGUUGACAGACCACAGGCUGGUCCCAGGCUCCUGAGAGACCGCAUUAGUUGUGGAGGUACUUGGGCCAUGUGGCCAUGUGGCCAUUCCCGUUCCAACAGAUGAGGAAACGGAAGUUCGGUCGUGUUUUGACUUGCUCGAGAUCUCACAACUAGGACGUGGGAGCUGCCAUGGCAUAGCCUAGAGGAUGGGAACUGUGUAGCAAAAGGACCAGCCUUAAGACCAAGGAAGAAACACCAAGUGAGGUCAGACGUUGACACUUAUCGUGUAGAGAUGGGCCUUAAAGAUGUGGGUAGAGCGGACUCGGAGGCCAGCCAGCGUGCUCAGUUAAGUCUUCAGGUGACCCUGGGAGACCAAUGGUAGCUUUCGGAUACAGCUGCACAGCUGGUGUGCGCACGGGCCUGUGUGGGGAGAGCUUGAUUAUGUGCAGAUCUGCCUUGGAACUUGAGGGGAGAAGAGGAAGGAACCUUGCCCAGAGGCUGUGAAGGCUUGAGGCUGAGCUGCAGCACUCUGACCUCCUUGUUCUGUGCGGCUGACCCGCUGGGCACCCAGGACGACCUGCCGUCCAUUGCCAACCAGCAGCGUGAAAACAAAGGCUCAAAGGAGGGCAGGCCUCGAGCACGGUGCUGGGGAGGUUUAAGAUGCUGUUGCCUGCGGGGGGGCCGGGGGGGGCGGUAAUCCGUGGAAAUACAGGAUUGUAGACAAUAUAAUCUCAGCAGCAAAGAAAAACACGCCUGAAAAAGACCGGAAGGAACGAGACCGAACACCUUGAACAGGGAACUGGAGAACACACCCAGCAAGGCCGCGCCACUCCUGAGCUGCUCCCACAUGGCUGGCGGGGCUGCGGUGGUGCACCCUGAGUGAGAUGGACAAACGAGCCUGGCGACCUGUUGACAGCAAGAAAAAAAGAGAACAGACUCUCACGAGUCAGCAGAACUGAACUCCAGGGAGCCAGUCUGUGAGGAGGGGACCACCUGGGGGGCCUGCCCCAGCUGGGAGUGCGACAGCGACAGGCCGGCAUGCGGCCGUGGUGGGGCCCUGCCGGGAGCCGGGGAGGGAAGAGGCCCGGGCCCAGCUCGACACGACUGUGUGCCAGGCCCUGUGCCGGGUGCUUCACGUAAGGUAGCCUGAGUUCGUCUGCUCUUGGAAGCAGCCUGCAGAUCCGGGGGCGGACAGAGGCCCCCAUGUUGAGUAACUCAGAUGUGAACCAGGCCCGGCCCGGCCCCGCACUGGCCAAGGGGCAGUUCGUAGCCACACGUGACCAUGUUAAGGCUGAAGUAAAACCAGAACUUCAGUUCCUCAAUUGUGUCAGCUGCUGAGCACCUGACGUGUGGCUACGUGUGGCUAAGUGUGCCUAGUUUCUUUUGGCCAGUGAAGAUUUACAGGGUGUUUCCAUUGCCACAGAAAGUUCUACUGAACAGCACUCCUCUCCACGAAACUGUUUGCCUUUUAUUCCAAUAAACCAGCCUCGGGUGGCACAGGAGCCUUUCUUGGUAAGGAGGCUGUAUAGGUUUUGUCCUCGAGUGGGUUUUUUAAUCUUAAAGACCAGUCUUGUUUCCACAUUUGGGGGAGGCAGAGCCUCCUGGAGUCCUAUAUCCCCCAGAGGAGUAGCUCUAAUAACCUCCCUUUUCUUUAUAAAGGACCCGUUUUCCUACCUGAUCCUGGUUCCCUCCCUUCAAACUGGGACCCACACCCUGUAAGAGGAGAACACAGAGAAUAAAGUCAUAAAAUUCA
Molecule: RNA transcript, 5494 nt
Organism: Zalophus californianus (California sea lion)
Lineage: Eukaryota; Metazoa; Chordata; Mammalia; Carnivora; Otariidae
Gene: RFFL
Gene name: ring finger and FYVE like domain containing E3 ubiquitin protein ligase
Exons: 8
Source: RefSeq, a predicted model, not a curated record